UACGAACUGCGCGAACGUUAUUCGGAAUCACUGGGCUUACAGGGUGCGUAGGCGGCUUUUCAGGUCCGAUGUGAAAUCCCACAGCUCAACUGUGGAAUGGCAUUGGAAACCGGGAAGCUCGAGUGAGCUAGAGGUACACGGAACUUUCGGUGGAGCGGUGAAAUGUGUUGAGAUCGGAAGGAACACCAGAGGCGAAAGCGGUGUACUGGGGCUUGUCUGACGCUGAGGCACGAAAGCCAGGGGAGCGAACGGG
RNAcentral lists this unclassified non-coding RNA (253 nucleotides) under uncultured Planctomycetales bacterium. RNAcentral's name for it is "contains 16S-23S intergenic spacer region". It matches the Rfam family "Bacterial small subunit ribosomal RNA", at positions 524 to 776 of the family's 1533-position model. Lineage: Bacteria; Pseudomonadati; Planctomycetota; Planctomycetia; Planctomycetales. The record is from RNAcentral.